AGAGUUUGAUCCUGGCUCAGGAUGAACGCUAGCGGGAGGCCUAACACAUGCAAGCCGAGCGGUAUAGUUUCUUCGGAAACUAGAGAGCGGCGUACGGGUGCGUAACACGUGUGCAACCUACCUUUAUCAGGGGAAUAGCCUUUCGAAAGGAAGAUUAAUACUCCAUAAUAUAUUAGAUGGCAUCAUUUAGUAUUGAAAACUCCGGUGGAUAGAGAUGGGCACGCGCAAGAUUAGAUAGUUGGUGAGGUAACGGCCUACCAAGUCAAUGAUCUUUAGGGGGCCUGAGAGGGUGAUCCCCCACACUGGUACUGAGACACGGACCAGACUCCUACGGGAGGCAGCAGUGAGGAAUAUUGGACAAUGGGUGAGAGCCUGAUCCAGCCAUCCCGCGUGAAGGACGACGGUCCUAUGGAUUGUAAACUUCUUUUUAUAGGGAUAAACCUACUCUCGUGAGAGUAGCUGAAGGUACUAUACGAAUAAGCACCGGCUAACUCCGUGCCAGCAGCCGCGGUAAU
Molecule: ribosomal RNA, 515 nt
Filed under: uncultured bacterium
Lineage: Bacteria
Description: bacterial SSU rRNA
Rfam family: Bacterial small subunit ribosomal RNA
Source: RNAcentral